This 204-nucleotide long non-coding RNA is filed under the name Mytilus galloprovincialis (Mediterranean mussel). The record is from RNAcentral. Lineage: Eukaryota; Metazoa; Mollusca; Bivalvia; Mytilida; Mytilidae.
UGUAAACAAAGAUUGUACCCAUCAAAAUGCCAUCAAAAGGAGUUAAAUCCUUUAGAACCCGACAAGAUAAACAGAAAAUGAUAGAAAGACUGAAGAAAAAGACCCAUUGUAAACAUUUUUUAUCGUAUAUCAAUAAUGUAUUACCUAGCUGCCUGGCUGUCCAGUCAGUCCGAAGUGAUUGGUUCCAUACAUCCUUGCCCCCCC